RNAcentral lists this ribosomal RNA (465 nucleotides) under Vreelandella stevensii. Its description in RNAcentral is "partial 16S ribosomal RNA". It matches the Rfam family "Bacterial small subunit ribosomal RNA", at positions 338 to 795 of the family's 1533-position model. Lineage: Bacteria; Pseudomonadati; Pseudomonadota; Gammaproteobacteria; Oceanospirillales; Halomonadaceae. The record is from RNAcentral.
CCUACGGGUGGCAGCAGUGGGGAAUAUUGGACAAUGGGGGCAACCCUGAUCCAGCCAUGCCGCGUGUGUGAAGAAGGCCCUCGGGUUGUAAAGCACUUUCAGUGAGGAAGAACGCCUGGUGGUUAAUACCCAUCAGGAAAGACAUCACUCACAGAAGAAGCACCGGCUAACUCCGUGCCAGCAGCCGCGGUAAUACGGAGGGUGCGAGCGUUAAUCGGAAUUACUGGGCGUAAAGCGCGCGUAGGUGGCUUGAUAAGCCGGUUGUGAAAGCCCCGGGCUCAACCUGGGAACGGCAUCCGGAACUGUCAAGCUAGAGUGCAGGAGAGGAAGGUAGAAUUCCCGGUGUAGCGGUGAAAUGCGUAGAGAUCUGGAGGAAUACCAGUGGCGAAGGCGGCCUUCUGGACUGUCACUGACACUGAGGUGCGAAAGCGUGGGUAGCAAACAGGAUUAGAUACCCCAGUAGUC